This 89-nucleotide transfer RNA is filed under the name Nephromyces sp. ex Molgula occidentalis. RNAcentral describes it as "tRNA-Ser". It matches the Rfam family "tRNA". From Rfam's summary of the family: Transfer RNA (tRNA) molecules are approximately 80 nucleotides in length. Their secondary structure includes four short double-helical elements and three loops (D, anti-codon, and T loops). Further hydrogen bonds mediate the characteristic L-shaped molecular structure. tRNAs have two regions of fundamental functional importance: the anti-codon, which is responsible for specific mRNA codon recognition, and the 3' end, to which the tRNAs corresponding amino acid is attached (by aminoacyl-tRNA synthetases). tRNAs cope with the degeneracy of the genetic code in two manners: having more than one tRNA (with a specific anti-codon) for a particular amino acid; and 'wobble' base-pairing, i.e. permitting non-standard base-pairing at the 3rd anti-codon position. Lineage: Eukaryota; Apicomplexa; Aconoidasida; Nephromycida. The record is from RNAcentral.
GGAGAAAUGACAGAGUAGGUUUAUUGUAUCUGAUUUGAAAUCAGAAAAACUUUUAUAUAGUUUCGUGGGUUCAAAUCCCACUUUCUCUU